UAGCCCUCCCUCUUAGGGUAGGAAGACGAGGGUUUUCCACAAAAAUGCCAUUUUCUGGGGAUUUUGUGCGAUUUUUUUGAGGAAGGAGGGGUAAAAGUACAAAAAAUGCAAGAGAUUCCGAUCGUGGAGCUCUUUCCAUGGUGUCUAUGCGAUUUCAAAUUCGUCAAGCAAUAGCAUUGCUCUCUCACUUGGGAUUCAGACUGUGCUGGGAGUGUCGUCUCUUCAAAUAUAGAAAACCCAGAGGAAAGCGGUGAAGAAGAAUUUUGAAGGUAAUGGAAUGCAAUCGAGGUGAGGCCUGUAGGGCGAAAGAAAUUGCUGAGAAGAAAUUUACAGCUAAAGACCUUAUGGGGGCGAAGAAAUUUGCCAUGAAAGCUCAGUCAUUAUACCCUGGGCUUGAUGGAAUACAACAAAUGUUAGCAACCCUCAAUGUGUAUAUUUCAGCUGAGAACAGAGUAAAUGGCCAAGCAGAUUGGUAUGGGAUACUUGAUGUGAAUCCAGAUGCAACUGAGGAUACAAUAAGGAAACAAUAUAGGAAGCUUGCACUCAUGCUUCACCCUGACAAAAACAAGUCUGUUGGGGCCGAUGGGGCAUUUAAGCUUAUUUCUGAGGCUUGGAGAUUGUUGUCUGAUAAGGCUAAGAAACUAGAAUAUGAUCGGAAGAGGAAUGAUCUGAAGGUUCCAUCUGCAAGCAGGGGGCCAUCAGCACCACCCCCAUCAAAUGGCUUUUAUAAUUCCACCAACAGCAAACGUCCAAACAUGAAGGUUCAAAACCGCAAAACCACCAAGGCAGGUUCCUCUCCUGCUGCUGCAAAUAAGCGUCCGCCAGCACCACCUCCAUCAAAUGGUUUUUAUAAUUCCACCACAAGUGAAGCUCCAAAUAUGAAAUUUCACAACACCAAAACCACCAAGGCACGUGCCUCUCCUGCUGCUUCAAAUAGCCGUCCACCAGCACCACCUCCAUCAAAUGAUUUUUAUAAUUCCACCAAAAGUGAAGCUCCAAAUACAAAGGUUCACUACAACAAAACCACCAAGGCAGGUGCCUCUCUUGCUCCUGCUUCAUCUCGUAAGCAGAAUCUCUCUACCUUUUGGACCCUGUGCUGUCGGUGCAUGAUGCAGCAUGAGUAUGUCAGAAUGUUUCUCAACAAGAAUCUGAUAUGCUUCAAUUGUAAUCUACCAUAUUUCGCCUUUGAAAUCCCAGCACCAUCUUUUGGUGGUUCUGAGGCAUCCAACCGGUGCAACCAUUCUCAGCAGCAACAGGACUUAAGUCACCAAGAAGCAAGCAAUAAUGUAUCUACUACAGGAAGAAACAAUUCUACCAUUUCAAAUGCAGGGUUAGGAGGAUUCGGCAGUUCUGAUGUGUCUGGUCCCACUAAUGUCCAGUGUGAUCGGUUCUCUACAACGGCUUUUGCUUCAUCAGGUCCUCAAUCUGAAAAUGUAGUUCCACAGGCCUCUGGGACAGUUAAGGGAGAACAAAUGGAGAGACAGGCAACAAAGGAGGUUUUGCAAAAGAGAAUGCAAUCUUCUAUGGAGACAUGUGGUGUCUCAUUAUCUGGCUGCUCUGGUGCUGUGAAGAGAAGAAAAGGUAUGGAGAAUCAUGACACAAUGAAUGAGAAAGCAAAUGAGGAGUUAAAGGAAAAAGAUCAUGUCAUGGCAAAUGGCGUCAGGCAGGACGGAUGCAAUAACGGCAAGCCACUGGACAUCAAUAAAGAAAGUCAUGCCAAUAUGUCUUCUCCUGGGGGUUCUGGUGGCAAUGUAGACAUGGAGCCUGUUAAACAACGGUCAAUUGAUGUUCCAGAUCCUGAUUUUCAUGAUUUUAAUAAGGAUAGAACAGAAAGCUGCUUUGGGGAUAAUCAGGUAUGGGCUGCAUAUGAUGAUAAUGAUAGCAUGCCCCGUUAUUAUGCCAUGAUUCACAGCGUGAUGUCUUUAAAUCCAUUAAAGAUGUGGAUUAGUUGGCUUAACUUAAAAGACGACAGUGAAGUGGGCUCAUUUAACUGGACCAGGUCGGGUUUCUCAAAAACAUGUGGAGAUUUCAGAAUGGGUAAAAACGAAAUCAGCAACACACUGAACUCUUUUUCACACAAGGUUCGAUGGACAAAAGGUUCACAGGGGGUUAUUCAGAUUUUUCCCAUGAAAGGGGAUGUCUGGGCUCUGUACAGGAACUGGUCUCCUGAAUGGAAUGAGCUGACUGCAGAUGAAAUCAUCCACAAGUAUGACAUGGUAGAAGUACUUGAAGAUUAUGACGAGGAACAAGGGGUAACAGUUGCUCCACUAGUCAAAGUUGCUGGCUUCAGGACUGUGUUCUGUAGGCAUUUUAACUCUAGGGAGAUCAGAAUGAUUCCAAGAGAAGAGAUGUUCCGUUUUUCUCAUCACGUCCCUUCACGCUUGCUUACCGGACAGGAAGCUUCAAAUGCUCCUAAGGGCUGUCACGAGCUGGACCCUGCAGCUACACCUCUCGAUCUUCUUGAGGUCAUAACAGAUGUUGAAGAAAAAGACAUUGUACAGCACGAACAAAGAGCUGAGAUAGGAAAGAUGGUAGAUGGUGUUGUAAAGUGUAAUCAUGAAAUGGAAGAAAAUUGCAGUGGUUCUAGGCAAGGGAUUUCUGGGAAUGUUAGGGAUACGGAGGAAAUAUAAGUUUUGGAGAAUAGCAUCUAAAGGAAAGAAGAGAAGCGCGCAAAUUCUACUGAAGAGAUGACAGUAAACUUCUGAAUUUUGUGUGAUCUGAUGUAGAUUAUUUUUGGUUCUUUUGUUAGCAGUGAUGUAGAACAGAUUCAUCAUUAUUAGUCUUCAUGUCUAUACUAUGUUGCAGAGAUGAAACUUCUUUAGAGUUUGAGGUGACUUGAACACUAAUUAAAAGCACGAUAUUAUAUUCCAUGGGACCAUACCAACAUAGCUUCUCUUCUCUGAAAGAUUUAGAUGAAGCUUGUUUUGAAUUUCAGACGACUUGAACACUAAAAGCACAAUAUUGUCUUCCAUGGUAUUGGUACCAUGCCAACAGAGUUUCUGUGAAAGAUUUAAAGGAUUUGGGCUGCGUGCCUUCAACCUCCACACGUCAUCUCGUUACUUGUUUCAGCCAAUCACGAACAAGUCCUUGAAGUACUGGGACUUACCAAUUAAACUCAGAUACUGUAUAUAUUUACGCGUGUGUGGGUGUGAAGAGGGAGCUUGAAGAUACAGAAAGAGAGAGCGAGCGCGCGCGAUCGAGGAUUGAGAUUGAGAAUUUGACAGAGCACAGCGAGCGUUGGUUUCCGGUGCCACCGUCACAAUGGUGAUUUUCUUGCUUUGUCUUCUCUUUAAUUUGUUUGUUUGAAUGGCGGAAGUUUGCUAUUUAUUUCACAUGAUGAUCGUAGAUCCGUCUGGAUCAUUGAUUACGAAGUCUGCAUUCUAAAGUAUGGUUUCCUGAUUCGAAGCUAAUUAAUGUUAGUGAUCCACUACUACUUUGAGACAGCGCUCUUCAGAAGAAUCAAUUCAAUCUUUGAGACCUAUAA
This is an RNA transcript of Diospyros lotus (date-plum), 3484 nucleotides long. RefSeq lists it as uncharacterized. Lineage: Eukaryota; Viridiplantae; Streptophyta; Magnoliopsida; Ericales; Ebenaceae. The transcript is spliced from 5 exons. The record is from RefSeq and is a predicted model, not a curated record.